GAAGAGCGUCGUCGCAUUGAGUUGUACCUUAAAAAAAUCCCUCGCUCGAUAUUCGUCAUGCUUUACGUGGUCAUGUACGCCUUUGUUUUCUUCAUUAUUUUCAAAUUAUCCGGAUCUUCAGGUGUUGAAAAAGCAGGGAAUUUGAAUGUUCCAGACGUCGUGGUUCAAAAAUCUGAAUCACCCCCGGGUAGAUGUGCAGCACUGCCACUAACAUUAAUACCUGCCCCCACGAUCGACAUGACUUGCAUCGUUCUCCCCCUUGCAUUGCUACUUAGCAUCAAUUGAUGCAAAAAGGUCGUUAACAGACGGACGGACGGACGGACGGACAAGAGGAAUUCAAUAGCUCCCGUGCUACGCAGGGUGAGCUAAUAAUUACUAUUAGAGAACACAUAAAAUAGGAAAAACACCAUUACCAAUCUAAUAUUGUUUUGCUACACUCUGGUUAUAAAAUUUUACGAAAUGUGAAAUGUGCUGAAACCAAUUUCAGAAUAUUUUUUACUUGCUUAUUAGCUCAUAUAAUUUUCAU
This is a long non-coding RNA of Folsomia candida, 526 nucleotides long. RefSeq lists it as uncharacterized. The record is from RefSeq and is a predicted model, not a curated record. Lineage: Eukaryota; Metazoa; Arthropoda; Collembola; Entomobryomorpha; Isotomidae. The transcript is spliced from 3 exons.